AUCAUAUGCCCACCGCUUUGACUGUUCUUAGCUUUCCCCACCGCACCCUCGCCUCCUCCCAAUCGCCGACCCCCAUCAUCACCUCGGCGUCCCACUCGCUGCCGGCCAUGGCGACGAGGAGCUGGACCAUGGAGACAAGCUGUUCGCGGGCGUCGGCACCCCGUCCGCCGCCGGCCAUGGCGACGAGGAGCUGUACCCUGAAGAGGCAUCGCGGCAGCCCGGAGUCCUCUCGGGCUUCUCACCCGUCGAUGGCCCACAUCGAUGCGUUCCUUGGCGCGGCCGUCGCCGAAGGUGAUGGCCAUGACAGAGCAUGAGGCGUCGAGCGCCAGGAGUGGCAGGAGCACAACAAGCGGUGGGCGGCACGGAUAAAGGGCGUCGGGUUAGGCCGCAUGCCGCUCAGCUACGAUGCACUGCUCCAGGUGCUAGGCGAAUGGUGCUUGGCCUCGGGCGCGACGGUCUUAUAAGGUCCGUGCUGUAGAUGGGGCUUCGAUCUAUGUCUUAGGCAGCAGCGUGGUCGGCGGGUACAAUCGUCGGGCAGCGCAGCGCUGAACUUGCGCGGCGGAUGGAAUCGACAUCGUGGUGAGCUGCGGGCGGACUCGGCACUGCUCCGGACAGAGAUCGCCGGUCAGCCGUCUCCGCGUGCUUGGCCUGCCUGCCGUGCGCGCUGCCCCAGCUGAUGCCCUGCUCGCGCAGAUGGAAGGGCUAGACUUGGAGAGGAGGCAGUACGUGGCGGCCGAUGAAGUUGCGAGGAAAGAGAAACUGGAGCGCGGCAUGAAGCGGCGGACGGUGGCGAUUGCGACUAAAUCGACACAGCUUUUUGUCCCCCAGAUCCAUAUCUCCAUGUAGCUUCCAUGUAUUUGAUGCGAAAUCUUUCGUGAAGAGCAGUGCAUUCGCAAAGGAUUUAAUCAAGAAUUUCACAUCCGUGGAUGCUCCAGUUCUGUGAUUUUUUUACUGAAAUCAUGCCUACCAUGUGGCUGCAUUUUUUGCAGGUUGUUCUAUUCUUCCAGAUUGAUGUAAUGCCAAGUCAUUUGGCUGACAUGUGGUUGUUCUGUUUGUACACGGACGGGCAAGCCUUAGAUUUAUAAAAUGUUGAAAUGUUAAUUUUGAGAUGUUGGCACGAAAGAUGUACACUGUGAGUUGGCUGUAUCGGAACACAGCCUGGCUGCUGGUCAGCAAGAGGUAUGUUCUAAUAUCAAAUUAUGUAGAUAAUAUCUUUCUGGUUGCGUAAAAGUAAUUUAUAUUUCCUAGCUAGCUGAAACCAGAUGGUUGUCUUUAGUGAGAAGAUUUGGAAUUUGUGCAAGCAUAAUAAGAUGGAUUUUGCUGAAACCAAGCUUGGUAUGAACUUUUAAAUUUAAGAAGUUUCCAUGAUUUUAGUCCUAUCCAAGUGUCUAUUUAUACUAUUUGUUCUUACAUGAGGGAUGAAUCACCUUCCAAGUAAGAAAAAUAUUCUUUCUAGAUUAUAUGGAAGCCUAAGGGGGAGUACAUGCACAUUUCAUGGUUUUGUUUUAAGUUAUCUCUUUCUACAUUAUUGUGCUUUGUUUUGGUAGCAGAACAAUUCUUCUUUCUUUUCAGAUAAAACUCCAGUCUUUCUGUGCAGGCCUUCAGUGUCAUUUUUGAUCGAGGGAAAAUUUGAUCAAUCUAAUGAUUUAUUGUUUCUUUUGGUGGGAGCAAAAAGGAUUGGUUCCAUGUUGUCUAUUUUACAGCAUGGGUAGUUCUUUUGCACGGCAGGAAAAGUUGUGGAUCCAAUCUCUUGGCGUCUGAUAUAUCGGCUGGACUUAAACACCCAAAAGGGUCUUCUUUUGGUGGCUGACAGCAUGUGCUUCUUUACUUUCAGAGGAAGCGACUGCCGGUUGUGGACACGAGGAGUUGGUCAUAGAGCUAGAACACUGACGGUUGUGGACACGAGGAGUUGGUCAUAGAGCUAGAAGCCAGAUGAAAAGUUGAGAUUUUGCAUCAGUGUCUUUGAGAAAUUGGUGUAAAGUCUAUGAAUGUUGAUGUUAAGAAGCUGGGUAUCUUUGAAAUUCUCAAUAAGAGAUGCCCUUUGUGCUGAACCACGGCGAUGAUUACAGUCCUGUACCAAAGCUGGGUAUUUUUGAAAUUCUGAGUAAAAUGUUGUUAAUUAUUGCAAGGCGGCACUUACCUUGUGCUGGUGUGUCCCUUUUUUAGUUCCGGCUUUUUGUACGUCUUUUUCGUAAGUAGUCUAUUACAAUUUUUACUUAAGGCUACAAGGAAAUUAAUUAAGUACUUCAAAA
This is a long non-coding RNA of Lolium perenne, 2252 nucleotides long. RefSeq lists it as uncharacterized. The record is from RefSeq and is a predicted model, not a curated record. NCBI's taxonomy places the organism in Eukaryota, Viridiplantae, Streptophyta, Magnoliopsida, Poales, Poaceae.